UACGGGGGGGGCAAGCGUUGUUCGGAAUUACUGGGCGUAAAGGGCGUGUAGGCGGCCAACUAAGUCCGACGUGAAAUCCCCAGGCUUAACCUGGGAACUGCGUCGGAUACUGGAUGGCUUGAAUCCGGGAGAGGGAUGCAGAAUUCCAGGUGUAGCGGUGAAAUGCGUAGAUAUCUGGAGGAACACCGGUGGCGAAGGCGGCAUCCUGGACCGACACUGACGCUGAUGAGCGAAAGCCAGGGGAGCAAACGGG
This 253-nucleotide ribosomal RNA is filed under the name uncultured bacterium. RNAcentral describes it as "partial 16S ribosomal RNA". It matches the Rfam family "Bacterial small subunit ribosomal RNA", at positions 524 to 776 of the family's 1533-position model. The record is from RNAcentral.